GAUGAACGCUGGCGGCGUGCCUAAUACAUGCAAGUCGAGCGAACAGAUAAGGGGCUUGCUCCUUUGACGUUAGCGGCGGACGGGUGAUUAACACGUGGGUAACCUACCUAUAAGACUGGGAUAACUUCGGGAAACCGGCGCUAAUACCGGAUAAUAUUUCGAACCGCAUGGUUCGAUAGUUAAAGAUGGUUUUUCUAUCACUUAUAGAUGAACCCGCGCCUCAUUAGCUAGUUGGUAAGGUAACGGCUUACCAAGGCGACGAUCCGUAGCCGACCUGAGAGGGUGAUCGGCCACACUGGAACUGAGACACGGUCCAGACUCCUACGGGAGGCAGCAGUAGGGAAUCUUCCGCAAUGGGCGAAAGCCUGACGGAGCAACGCCGCGUGAGUGAUGAAGGUCUUCGGAUCGUAAAACUCUGUUAUUAGGGAAGAACAUACGUGUAAGUAACUGUGCACGUCUUGACGGUACCUAAUCAGAAAGCCACGGCUAACUACGUG
Molecule: ribosomal RNA, 497 nt
Filed under: uncultured bacterium
Lineage: Bacteria
Description: partial 16S ribosomal RNA
Rfam family: Bacterial small subunit ribosomal RNA
Source: RNAcentral